AUGAGAGAGAGACAGCUAGAGGCUACACUGGAUGCUGUGCUAGGUAGCCAUGCCAUGACCAUCCUCUGGGCCAGUGUAGGAAGGCCAAGGCCAGACCCAGAUGUUCUGCAGGGGUCUUUGAAGCGGCUACUGACAGAUACCCUGUCACGGCCCUUGACACUGGGCCUAGGACUUAAGGCCUUUGGCAUAAACAGUGGAAAGACUGGGGGAAGCACAGUGCAUGUGGUUGGUGCUUCACAUGUGGAGACAUUUCUCACUCGAUCUGGGGACUAUAAUGAGCUUGGAUACAUGUUGCCUGGACAUCUUGGCCUCCAUGUAUUCAUGGUGGGUGUAGACGUGGCUACUAGCUUUUUACAGAGCGCUGCAUCUUCAACUCCAGAACCCGGCACCAUUCUUCUUAGUGGCCACAGGGGCCUCUAUCAUGACUUCUGGGAGGAACAUGUAGAGACUGGGCAGAUAGCCCAUCCAGAUAUGGUAGUGGCUUUCCAUCCAGGUUUCCAUGCCUCCCCAACCUUGAUGGAAAAUUGGCUACCUACCUUGCUGCUACUUCGUGACUAUAAGAUCCCUACAUUGCUUACUGUCUACAGGUUUUGACCUAUUCCUAUUUGUCGUAUCUCCCUGAUGCACUCGUAUCAUUCUUUAUAUGGAAGGGUUUAUUUUGCUUCCCCUUGCUUAUCUACCUUCUUGUGAAGAUAUUCUUCCUUCCCCCCGUGGCCUUUUCAUCCCCUAUGUUGCUUAUUUACAGAUGUAGUGAACCAUUUUGGAGGAAGGGAUAGUCCUUACCUAGUCACUGGGUAAUUUUUGGAAUUGAUAAGUACGGAAAUGUCAUGCUUUUGAGCAACUCCUGCUAGCUUGCUUUCUCCCUUUUCCUGUCUUUCAUAAUCAGUACAACAAUGUUUCUUAUCUCUCUCCCAUAGCCACCAGGAAUUGGCAGCCUCUGUACAGAUUCUGGUGGACCUGGAUACACAUAUCAUUGCAUAUGGAGCUAAUCCUUUCGCAUCUCUCAAGCCUGAACAGGUCUAUUCUAACCCCAACAAGCAGCCAGUAUACUGCAAUGCCUACUACAUCAUGUUUCGAGGGAGUUCCUGCCAGCUAGAUAGAGGCAAUUAGAAGAGAAAGUAGAUCGUGGAGUUUAAAUGGCUGAGCCAGAGCCUCACUAGAUUCAUGGAAAAUGGGGAAGCUGUGACAAAAUUUUACUGCACAUGCCAGGAUGUUGCCAACACUGAAACAUACUUUGUUCUAAAUCUCAUUCACUGUACAGGUAAAGAGUCUAAGCUGAACGAGAGCACCAGGAUGAUGUAACUUAUUGCUAAGAGGUUAGCCACAAGUAGCUUCUAAAGAUAGGUUUCUAGAUUUAGUAGGUAGCAAAAAGCCCUGGUGUCAGUCUUUCCAUAGUCUGGAGUUCUUAAUAGUCUCCUUUGUGAGUAAAUUGUACCUUUGACUGGAACCAGAUGGCACUGAAGAAAAAAAUGAGAACUACCAUAUUCUUCUGAAAAUGAUUCUUAUUCUGCAGUUAGGGUUAAAAAAUGGAGAUGUUGAUGACUUGAAAGUAAUGUGAGAAUGGACAAGUCAGGAAAGUUUUGGGAGCAUCAGGAAGGUUGUAAAUAUUGGCACACUGUUAUAUUUCCUCCUGCCUUCUUCUCUCAAGAAAGGUCUCAUUUUCCUAUUGUCUUUUGGGGAAUUCUGACCCUAGAAUGGACCUGGUGGUAUAUUUGAGUUAUCCCAGGUUAUAUGAAACUUUACCUGAAUUCAUUGGAGUUACCCACCUGCUCUGUACCACAAUAAAUUCAGUUUUGAGAGGUUUUUAUUGUUGUUUUUGUUUGCUUAUUUUAGUGACAGAGGGAGCUCACUAUGUUGUCUGGGCUGACCCUGAACUUUUGAGCUCCAGUAAUCCUCUUACCUCAACCUCUCAAGUAGCUGGGACUACUGGUACUCCCCACAUUGUGUCUAAUUACUUUGGGGCUUCUUAAAUCACUUGUUUUAUCUUCUUGCAAGUAUUUCUUACUUGAACACAAUCCUUUGAAAUGGAAGAUUAGUAUCAGCUCUAUUUUUGGGUGUGCCAUUCUUCCACACAUCAUUUGUUUCAUGUUAUCUUUCUCUUAUCACAUUUUCAGGAUUAGGAAAUUCCCGGGUAUUCAUUUCUACCACCUUGCUUUUUUUUUUUUUUUUUUGUACCAGGGAUCAAACUCAGGACCUUAAACUUGUGAGGCAGGCACAGGUGCCACUGAGCUAAAUCCCUGGCCCCCAACCUUGCCAUUUUUACAUACACUCAUAC
This is a long non-coding RNA of Fukomys damarensis (Damara mole-rat), 2275 nucleotides long. Lineage: Eukaryota; Metazoa; Chordata; Mammalia; Rodentia; Bathyergidae. The record is from Ensembl.